RNAcentral lists this ribosomal RNA (446 nucleotides) under uncultured bacterium. RNAcentral's name for it is "bacterial SSU rRNA". It matches the Rfam family "Bacterial small subunit ribosomal RNA", at positions 331 to 792 of the family's 1533-position model. The record is from RNAcentral.
CCAGACUCCUACGGGAGGCAGCAGUGGGGAAUAUUGGGCAAUGGGCGCAAGCCUUACCCAGCAAUACCGCGUGAGUGAAGAAGGUCUUCGGAUUGUAAAGCUCUUUGAUCAGGGACGAACAGAUGACGGUACCUGAAGAACAAGCCCCGGCUAACUACGUGCCAGCAGCCGCGGUAAAACGUAGGGGGCGAGCGUUGUCCGGAAUGACUGGGCGUAAAGGGUGCGUAGGCGGUAUGUCAGGUCAAGGGUGAAAUCCCCGCGCUCAACGUGGGAACUGCCUUUGAAACUGGCAAACUGGAGUGUGUGAGAGGAUAGUGGAAUUCCAGGUGUAGGAGUGAAAUCCGUAGAUAUCUGGAGGAACAUCAGUGGCGAAGGCGACUAUCUGGCACAUAACUGACGCUGAGGAGCGAAAGCGUGGGUAGCAAACAGGAUUAGAUACCCCAGUA